GGCCAUGUUGGUUAACAGAUCCUCAUCUGCUGGACGUCUGGCGAUGAUCUUUAUCGGUUGUCGUCAGUUGCCAGCACGUUUACUUUGAGAAAAUUAGAGUGCUAAAAGCAGGCUCACCCCUAUAUAUAUUGCAUGGAAUAAUGAAAUAAGAUCUCGAUUUUAUUUCGUUGGUUUUAGAAAUUGAGAUAAUGAUUAAUAGGAUCAGAGGGGGGCGUACGUACUGUGGUGUGAGAGGUGAAAUUCUUGGAUCGCCACAGGACGAACAGCAGCGAAGGCGUUCGCCAAGAAUGUUUUCAUUAAUCAAGAACGAAAGUUUGAGGUUCGAAGACGAUUAGAUACCGUCCUAGUUCAAACCAUAAACGUUGCCAACUGUCUUUUAGAUGCGGUUAUUUAUAUGACUCAUCUGGCGGAUCUCGAGAAAUCUAAGUUUUUAGGUUCCGGGGGAAGUAUGGUUGCAAAGCUGAAACUUAAAAGAAUUGACGGAAGGACACACAAGAAGUGGAGCCUGUGGCCUAAUUUGACUCAACACGGGAAACCUUACUCGGCCAGGACACUUUUAGGAUUGACAGAUUGAGAGCUCUUUCUUGAUUAGGUGGGUGGUGGUGCAUGGUCGUUCGUAGUUCGUGGAGCGAUUUGUCUGAUUAAUUUCGAUAACGAACGAGACUCCGGCUUACUAAAUAGUCUAAAGUUCGAAGGGACUUUUCAAGACUUCUUAGCAGGAUAAGUGG
RNAcentral lists this ribosomal RNA (728 nucleotides) under uncultured eukaryote. Its description in RNAcentral is "SSU rRNA". It matches the Rfam family "Eukaryotic small subunit ribosomal RNA", at positions 674 to 1426 of the family's 1831-position model. The record is from RNAcentral.